UUGAUCACCCUGCAUCUUCUGCUAACAAAUAUGGUACUCCACGCAUUAAGUUUUUUGACAAUGAGACCAUAAAAGAGUUGGCUCGUGGUGACAGCCCCCCCCCGUAAAACUGGUGAACCAUUCGGAUAUGCAGAGUUUCGUAGCCGUUCAGAAACGUGUUACGUCAUUGCUCCAGAACGGCCUGCUUCUGCCGUUUUCAACAUAUAUGUGCCACGUAUCAAUAAUUUGAUUGGCAACAAGUUGCAAUGUUUGCCCUCCCAGCAGCGUCCAAUGUUUCAAUCAUUGUUUGAUGCUCAUGACAAAGAGGUGGAUAAAUACUGUGAUUCCCUUCAGCUGAGCCAUCAGAUGAUGGUUUCGAAGCAGAUUGAACUCUCUCAAACAUUUGGUGAAAUGAUCGAUGAAGUUCUGAGAGCUGCAACGUAGCGCGAUUCACAGCCAGAAGGUUUUAGUAUUUAUGUUUAUUUUUUUAAACUAAUCAAGUUCACGAAUUAUUUCCUGGAAAAUAAUAUAUACUUAUACGAUCUCAAAUAAUUUAUUAUAUGCAGUUUUGUAUAUACAAAUUAUAUAUUAAUUUAUACUCAUACAAGCAGCAACAUAUUUUUUCAGUGUA
Long non-coding RNA from Zea mays, 610 nucleotides. RefSeq lists it as uncharacterized. The transcript has 2 exons. The record is from RefSeq and is a predicted model, not a curated record. NCBI's taxonomy places the organism in Eukaryota, Viridiplantae, Streptophyta, Magnoliopsida, Poales, Poaceae.